GGGAAUCAUCAAUCAUUUCAACAGACUAGUUUAGUAGGAAAAAUCUCUGUAUCAUCCACGAAGAAGAGGAACCUUUUAAGGGGGAAAAGAUGCUACGGAAAAAAUUUGUGAGCUUGUUGGUUUCAUUUGGACUGUUAACAGUGAUAUCAUAAGACGAAAGAUGCAAACUUCGACACGGUACAUUUAAGUACCCAUUGGCUUAACACUUCUACAAUAGUCAAAAGUACUCCACACACCCUCUUCAUUGAAUCGGGCUAGGAAGCAGUAAAACUCAAAAAGAAAAUCACUAGCACCAUUAUACCGCAGAGUGCAAUUACCAUUAUAACUGCCUUUGUAAUUCCACUGCAACUUGAACCAUAUACUAAUAAUAGCCAGUGAAGUACUCGCAAGUUUUUGGAUCAUUUUGCAACAUUAACAGUACUCAAGAAAAUACAAUAAUUUAGUGAACCU
This 450-nucleotide unclassified non-coding RNA is filed under the name Hevea brasiliensis (rubber tree). Lineage: Eukaryota; Viridiplantae; Streptophyta; Magnoliopsida; Malpighiales; Euphorbiaceae. The record is from RNAcentral.